This is a long non-coding RNA of Scaptodrosophila lebanonensis, 1136 nucleotides long. RefSeq lists it as uncharacterized. The transcript has 4 exons. NCBI's taxonomy places the organism in Eukaryota, Metazoa, Arthropoda, Insecta, Diptera, Drosophilidae. The record is from RefSeq and is a predicted model, not a curated record.
GAAAAAUUUUUAGGAAUAAUUAGUGCUUAGAUUCUCAGAUUGGUGUUUCGAACAUUUGAAGAAUGUCUGGCAAGGCGAGUGUGUGUGACUCAACCAGUGGAAGCGACUCUGAGAUGGAGUCUGAGAUGGAGUCCCCAGUAACUAGCUCUACAUCGGCACAGCGCAAGGAGCAGAAGCACUGCUGCUAUGUUAUUUAUGUAACAAAUCUGAAUCGGAAGACCACCAGAGCGGAGCUGGAGUCUCAUUUCGCAUUGGGAAACAAAAUUAAAUUCAUAAGAAUGCCGAAACGUGCGAGCGGAGGAUUUGCCUAUAUAGGCAUAACCGAUUUCAAGAGCAUGAUGCGUGCCCUAAUGAUGAACAACACAAUACUGCUGGGCUAUCGCAUAAAGGUGCGAAGUGCGCCCCAAUGGAGCAGAUCGCAAUAUUUGGCGUCAAACCGACAGAGAAGACGCAUUUUCGCCUCCAUGCCACAUAAAAAUACACGUUUCAAGGCGGCCUAUAUGAGGAGCGGCAAGUUCUACGACAGGCAGUACGAGGUGGAGAAAGCCCGCUAUCUGCAGUCAUGCAAGCGACGCCGAAAUCUUUUGAAGGGAGGCAAAAUCAAAAAUCGUAACAAAUAGAAAGCGAUACAGGCAUUCGAUUACAUCAUUUGCAAACAAAAUUAAUUUAAGUAAUUCUAACACUCCAUUUGCAAACCAAAUUACAACAACAAACUGUAAGAAAACCUGGAGAUAUCUCAGCCAUAUCAUGGUUAAACUGUAUGAGUUACUGAGGAUGCAUUCAAACGCAUACCUCCUUACCAAAUAAACUGAGAAUAUAAUUAACUGCAAUAGAUAUCUAGUUAUAAGUAUGAGCGAAGAUGUGAUAAAAUCUACUUUUUAGAUGAACUCAUUUCAAUUAAACAUUUACGGACGAAAUUUCCAGUAGUUUUCUCAACAAAGAUGAGCUAACGCAGCAGACAAUCAGACGUAUAUAAUCAUGUUUGAACUUGAUUUUUCAGAUAUUCAAUCUAACAUAUAUUUCAAUUCACUUUCCGAUCCAUGUACCAUAAGCACUUCGAAUCAACCUAAUCUAUUUGAUGAUGCAUUAAAUCUAAUCUAUUUAAUCUAAGUAUCUAUCUAAUAAAUUGUGAGGGC